AGAGUUUGAUCAUGGCUCAGAUUGAACGCUGGCGGCAUGCUUUACACAUGCAAGUCGAACGCGAAAGCGGGGCAACCCGCAAGUAGAGUGGCGAACGGGUGAGUAAUACAUCGGAACGCGCCCUUUAGUGGGGGACAACGCCGAGAAAUCGGCGCUAAUACCGCAUACGCCCGAGAGGGGAAAGCGGGGGACCGCAAGGCCUCGCGCUGUUGGAGCGGCCGAUGUCCGAUUAGCUAGUUGGUGGGGUAAAGGCUCACCAAGGCGACGAUCGGUAGCUGGUCUGAGAGGAUGAUCAGCCACACUGGGACUGAGACACGGCCCAGACUCCUACGGGAGGCAGCAGUGGGGAAUUUUGGACAAUGGGGGCAACCCUGAUCCAGCCAUGCCGCGUGAGUGAAGAAGGCCUUCGGGUUGUAAAGCUCUUUCGGCCGGAACGAAAUCGCGCGGGCGAACAAUCCGCGUGGAUGACGGUACCGGAAUAAGAAGCACCGGCUAACUACGUGCCAGCAGCCGCGGUAAUACGUAGGGUGCAAGCGUUAAUCGGAAUUACUGGGCGUAAAAGCGUGCGCAGGCGGUCGCGUAAGCCAGAUGUGAAAGCCCCGGGCUUAACCUGGGAAUUGCAUUUGGUACUGCGUGGCUAGAGUGCGGCAGAGGGAGGUGGAAUUCCUGGUAGCAGUGAAAUGCGUAGAUAUCAGGAGGAACACCGAUGGCGAAGGCAGCCUCCUGGGCCAGCACUGACGCUCAUGCACGAAAGCGUGGGGAGCAAACAGGAUUAGAUACCCUAGUAGUCC
Molecule: ribosomal RNA, 791 nt
Filed under: uncultured bacterium
Lineage: Bacteria
Description: bacterial SSU rRNA
Rfam family: Bacterial small subunit ribosomal RNA
Source: RNAcentral